Cyprinus carpio carpio is the source of this 781-nucleotide long non-coding RNA. The record is from Ensembl. Lineage: Eukaryota; Metazoa; Chordata; Actinopteri; Cypriniformes; Cyprinidae.
AGGCGGUGCCCGAUGCCGAGGCGGUGCCCGAUGCGGUGCCAGAGACGGUGCCAGAGACGGUUCCCGAUGUAAUGCCCGAGACCGAGGCGGAGGUCGAGGCGGUGCCCGAUGCUGUGCCCGAUGCCGAGGCUGUGCCCGAUGCCGAGGCUGUGCCCGAUGCCGAGGCGGUGCCGAUGCUGUUCCGCAGGUCGAGGCGGUGCCCGAGGCUGUGCCCGAUGCCGAAGCGGUGCCCAAUGCUGUUCCGGAGGCCGAGGCGGUGCCCGAUGCGCAGGCCGAGGCCGUUCCCGAGGCGGUGUCCUUGUCCAAUGCCGUUCCUGAGGCCGUUCCUGAGACCGUUCCCGAGGCGGUGCCCGAUGCCGAGGUCGUUCCCGAGGCGGUGUCCUUGUCCGAUGCCGUUCCUGAGGCCGAUGCGGGGCCCGAGAUGGUUCCGGAGGCGAUACCCGUGUCCAAGGCCGUUCCCGAGGCGGUGCCCUUGUCUGAGACCGUUCCCGAUGCCGUUCCCAAUGCCGUGACCUGGCCAUCGCCACAGCCUGCUCCUUACUGGCUCCCCGAUUGGCAGGUUCCGUUCGGGCCACUCAAAUGGCGAAUUCCUCCCUGGCCGUCUGCACAACGAGAAUGGACUGAUCCACCGUGGCCACCUGAACUGCCUGGUCCCUCGUGGUCCCCUGAACUUUCGGGUCCACCAUGGCCCCCUGAUCUGACCGAGCCACCUGGGCUACCAGGGGAGCCAUCACUGCCGGUCCCAGUUCCCCUACACGGGCCUGGCCCGCCAUCCCUCCCC